This is a long non-coding RNA of Mytilus californianus (California mussel), 5596 nucleotides long. RefSeq lists it as uncharacterized. The record is from RefSeq and is a predicted model, not a curated record. NCBI's taxonomy places the organism in Eukaryota, Metazoa, Mollusca, Bivalvia, Mytilida, Mytilidae. The transcript is spliced from 6 exons.
AUACAGGAAUUAGCUGUCUGUUUUUAUACGACUGCAAAAAAAUUUUGCGGUCGUAUAUUGGUAUGGCGUCAGCGUCGUUGUCCGAAGACACAUUGGUUUUCGCACUCUAACUUUAGUUAAAGUGAAUGGAUCUCUAUGAAAUUUUACCAUAAGGUUCAAUACCACAAAAGGAAAGUUGGGAUUGAUUUUGGGGGUUAUGGUACUAACAGUUAAGGAAUUAGGGGCCAAAAAUAAGCAUUUUUGUAACUUCCAGACAUAACUUGUGUGUUAGUGUAUGGAUCUCUUUGACAUUGUACCACAAGGUUCCAUAUCACAAAGGGAAUGCUUGGAUUGAUUUUGGGGGUAAUUGCCUCCACAUUUUAGGAAUUAGGAGCCAAAAAAGGGGCAAAAACAAGCAUUUUUCUAGUUUCAUGACAAUAACUUGUGUGUAAGUGUAUGGAUCUUUAUGAAAUUGUACUACAAGGUUCCAUAUCACAAAGGGAAAGCUGGAAUUGAGUUUGGGGGUAAUUGCCUAAAACGUUUAGGAAUAAGGGGCCAAAAAUAAGCAUUUUUCUAGUUUCCAGACAAUAACUUGUGUUCAAGUGUAUGGAUCUCUCUGAAAUUGUACUGCAAGGUACCAUACUACAAAGGGAAGGCUAGGAUUGAUUUUGGGGGUUAUUGCCUCAAAAUUUUAGGAAUAAGGGGCCAAAAAGGGGCAAAAAAUCAAGCAUUUUUCUAGUUUCAGGACAAAAACUUGUGCGUAAGUGUAUGGAUCUUUAUGAAAUUGUACUACAAGGUUCCAUAUCACAAAGGGAAAGCUGGGUUUGAGUUUGGGGGUAAUUGCCCUAAACGUUUAGGAAUUUGGGGCCAAAAAGGGGCAAAAAAACAAGCAUUUUUCUAGUUUCAUGACAAUAAUUUGUGUGUAAGUGUAUGGAUCUCUCUGACAUUGUAUCACAAGGUUCCAUAUCACAAAGGGAAUGCUGGGAUUGAUUUUGGGGGUAAUUGCCUCCAAAUUUAAGGAAUUAGGGGCCAAAAAGGGGCAAAAAACAAGCAUUUUUCUAGUUUCAUGACAAAAACUUGUGUGUAAGUGUAUGGAUCUCUCUGACAUUGUACCACAAGAUUCCAUAUCACAAAGGGAAUGCUGGGAUUGAUUUUGGGGGUAAUUGCCUCCAAAUUUUAGGAAUUAGGGGCCAAAAAGGGGCAAAAAACAAGUAUUUUUCUAGUUUCAUGACAAUAACUUGUGUGUAAGUGUAUGGAUCUUUAUGGAAUUGUACUGCAAGGUUCCAUAUCACAAAGGGAAAGCUGGAAUUGAGUUUGGGGGUAAUUGCCUAAAACGUUUAGGAAUAAGGGGCCAAAAAUAAGCAUUUUUCUAGUUUCCAGACAAUAACUUGUGUUCAAGUGUAUGGAUCUCUCUGAAAUUGUACUGCAAGGUACCAUACUACAAAGGGAAGGCUAGGAUUGAUUUUGGGGGUUAUUGCCUCAAAAUUUUAGGAAUAAGGGGCCAAAAAGGGGCAAAAAAUCAAGCAUUUUUCUAGUUUCAGGACAAAAACUUGUGCGUAAGUGUAUGGAUCUUUAUGAAAUUGUACUACAAGGUUCCAUAUCACAAAGGGAAAGCUGGGUUUGAGUUUGGGGGUAAUUGCCCUAAACAUUUAGGAACUUGGGGCCAAAAAGGGGCCAAAAAACAAGCAUUUUUAUACGACCGCAAACAAAAUUUUGUGGUCGUAUAUUGGUAUGACGUUGGCGUCGUCGUCCUCAUCCGAAGACACAUUGGUUUUCGCACUCUAACUUUAGUUUAAGUGAAUGGAUCUCUAUGAUAUUUUACCAUAAGGUUCAAUACCACAAAAGGAAGGUGGGGAUUGAUUUUGGGGGUUAUGGUACCAACAGUUAAGGAAAAAGGGGCCAAAAAUAAGCAUUUUUGUAACUUCCAGACAUCACUUGUGUGUUAGUGUAUGGAUCUCUCUGACAUUGUACCACAAGGUUCCAUAUCACAAAGGGAAUGCUGGGAUUGAUUUUGGGGGUAAUUGCCUCCAAAUUUUAGGAAUUAGGGGCCAAAAAGGGGCAAAAAACAAGCAUUUUUCUAGUUUCAUGACAAUAACUUGUGUGUAAGUGUAUGGAUCUCUCUGACAUUGUACCACAAGGUUCCAUAUCACAAAGGGAAUGCUGGGAUUGAUUUUGGGGGUAAUUGCCUCCAGAUUUAAGGAAUUAGGGGCCAAAAAGGGGCAAAAAACAAGCAUUUUUCUAGUUUCAUGACAAAAACUUGUGUGUAAGUGUAUGGAUCUCUCUGACAUUGUACCACAAGAUUCCAUAUCACAUAGGGAAUGCUGGGAUUGAUUUUGGGGGUAAUUGCCUCCAAAUUUUAGGAAUUAGGGGCCAAAAAGGGGCAAAAAACAAGUAUUUUUCUAGUUUCAUGACAAUAACUUGUGUGUAAGUGUAUGGAUCUUUAUGGAAUUGUACUGCAAGGUUCCAUAUCACAAAGGGAAAGCUGGGUUUGAGUUUGGGGGUAAUUGCCCUAAACGUUUAGGAAUUUGGGGCCAAAAAGGGGCAAAAAAACAAGCAUUUUUCUAGUUUCAUGACAAUAAUUUGUGUGUAAGUGUAUGGAUCUCUCUGACAUUGUAUCACAAGGUUCCAUAUCACAAAGGGAAUGCUGGGAUUGAUUUUGGGGGUAAUUGCCUCCAAAUUUAAGGAAUUAGGGGCCAAAAAGGGGCAAAAAACAAGCAUUUUUCUAGUUUCAUGACAAAAACUUGUGUGUAAGUGUAUGGAUCUCUCUGACAUUGUACCACAAGAUUCCAUAUCACAAAGGGAAUGCUGGGAUUGAUUUUGGGGGUAAUUGCCUCCAAAUUUUAGGAAUUAGGGGCCAAAAAGGGGCAAAAAACAAGUAUUUUUCUAGUUUCAUGACAAUAACUUGUGUGUAAGUGUAUGGAUCUUUAUGGAAUUGUACUGCAAGGUUCCAUAUCACAAAGGGAAAGCUGGAAUUGAGUUUGGGGGUAAUUGCCGAAACGUUUAGGAAUUGGGGGCCAAAAAGGGGCUAAAAAUAAGCAUUUUUCUAGUUUCCAGACAAUAACUUGUGUUCAAGUGUAUGGAUCUCUCUGAAAUUGUACUGCAAGGUACCAUACCACAAAGGGAAGGCUGGGAUUGAUGAUGGGGGUAAUUGCCUCAAUAUUUUAGGAAUUAGGGGCCAGAAAGGGGCAAAAAACAAGCAUUUUUCUAGUUUCAGGACAAUAACUUGUGUGUAAGUGUAUGGAUCUUUCUGAAAUUGUACCACAAGGUUCCAUAUCACAAAGGGAAAGCUGGAAUUGAGUUUGGGGGUAAUUGCCCUAAACGUUUAGGAAUUUGGGGCCAAAAAGGGGCCAAAAAACACAUUUUUCUAGUUUCCAGACAAUAACUUGUGUUCAAGUUUAUGGAUCACUCUGAAAUUGUACUGCAAGGUACCAUACCACAAAGGGAAGGCUGGGAUUGAGUUUGGGGGUGAUGAAUCAUAAGGGGGUUCAAAAAAUUUGGGGGGGGAUUUUUUUUUUUUUUCCUUUUUUUUCCUUUUUUUCCUUUUUUUUUCUUUUAAAAUUUUCCAUUUUAAGUUGGUUAUUUCUGAUUUAUAUUUAAAAGCAAAUAAUAAUGAUAUGGUAGGAGAUACACACCAAACAGGAUGUGUAAAUUAUUAUAUAAUAAGUAUUGUGCAAUAGCAAGAAAUUUUCAAUUGCACAGUAUUGCACAAUAGCAAGAAAUCUUCAAUUGCACAGUAUUGUGCAAUAGCAAGAAAUCUUCAAUUGCACAGUAUUGCGCAAUAGCAAGAAAUAUCCAAUAGCACAAUAUUGCGCAAUAGCAAGAAAUUGUCAAUUUUACAGUAUUGCGCAAUAGCAAGAAAUAUUUAAUUGCACAGUAUUGUGCAAAAGAAGAUACUUCGUAUAAAUUGCUUAUUUCUUGACCAAUUUCAAUGGGGUUUUAUUCUUGAAUUCUUGGGGUUCUUUAAUAUGCUGAAUCUAACCGUGUAUUUAGUUUUUGGAUUUUGGGCCCCGUUUUUAAAUUGGUCCACAUUGGGGUCAAAAGGAUCCAAAAUUAAACUUUGUUUGAUUUCAUCAAAAAUUGAAUUAUUGGGGUUCUUUGAUAUGCCGAAUCUAACCGUGAAUUUAGAUUCUUAAUUUUUGGUUCCAUUUUCAAAUUGGUCUACAUUAAGGUCCAAAGGGUCCAAAAUUAAACUUAGUUUGAUUUUAACAAAAAUUGAAUUCUUAGGGUUCUUUGAUAUGCUGAAUCUAAACAUGUAUUUAGAUUUUUGAUUAUGGGCCCAGUUUUCAAGUUGGUCCAAAUCGGGGUCCAAAAUUAAACUUUGUUUGAUUUCAACAAAAAUUGAAUAUAUGGGGUUCUUUGAUAUGCUGAAUCUAACCAUGUACUUAGAUUUUUGAUUUUUGGGCCCCGUUAUCAACUUUGUCCACAUUGAGGUAAAAAGGGUCCAAAAUUAAACUUUGUUUGAUUUCAUCAAAAAAUGAAUUCUUGGGGUUCUUUGAUAUGCUGAAUCUAACCAUGUAUUUAGAUUUUGGAUAUUGGACCAUAAUAGGUGAAUGUCCAAUUUAAAAUUUUUAAGUUCUUAGACCACAUUCAUUCUGUGUCAGAAACCUAUGCUGUGUCAAAUAUUUAAUCACAAUCCAAAUGCAAAGCUGUAUCAAGCUUGAAUGGUGUGUCCAUGGAGUGAAUGGAUCUCCAUGAAAUUUUACCAUAAGGUUCUAUACCACGAAAGGAAGGUUGGGAUUGAUUUUGGGGGUUAUGGUACCAACAGUUAAGGAAUUAGGGGCCGAAAAGGGGCCAAAAAUAAGCAUUUUUGUAACUUCCAGACAAUAACUUGUGUGUAAGUGUAUGGAUCUCUCUGACAUUGUACCACAAGGUUCCAUAUCACAAAGGGAAGGUUGUAAUUGAUUUUGGGGGUAAUUGCCUCAAAAUUUUAGGAAUUAGGGGCUAAAAAAGGGGCAAAAAACAAGCAUUUUUCUAGUUUCAUGACAAUAACUUGUGUGUAAGUGUUUGGAUAUUUCUGAAAUUGUACUACAAGGUUCCAUAUCACAAAGGGAAAGCUGGAAUUGAAUUUGUGGGUAAUUGCCCGAAACGUUUAGGAAUUUGGGGCCAAAAAUAAGCAUUUUUCUAGUUUCCAGACAAUAACUUGUGUUCAAGUGUAUGGAUCUCUCUGAAAUUGUACUGCAAGGUACCAUACCACAAAGGGAAGGCUGGGAUUGAGUUUGGGGGUGAUGAAUCAUAAGGGGGUUCAAAAAAUUAGGGGGGGGGGGUUUCUUUUUUUUUCUUUUUUUCCUUUUUUUUUUCUUUUAAAAUUUUCCAUUUUAAGUUGGUUAUUUCUGAUUUAUAUUUAAAAGCAAAUAAUAAUGAUAUGGUAGGAGAUACACACCAAACAGGAUGUGUAAAUUAUUAUAUAAUAAGUAUUGUGCAAUAGCAAGAAAUUUUCAAUUGCACAGUAUUGCACAAUAGCAAGAAAUCUUCAAUUGCACAGUAUUGCGCAAUAGCAUGAAAUCUUCAAUUGCACAGUAUUGGGCAAUAGCAAGAAAUAUCCAAUAGCACAAUAUUGCGCAAUAGCAAGAAAUUGUCAAUUGUAAAGUAUUGCGCAAUAGCAAGAAAUAUUCAAUUG